RNAcentral lists this ribosomal RNA (461 nucleotides) under uncultured bacterium. RNAcentral's name for it is "partial 16S ribosomal RNA". It matches the Rfam family "Bacterial small subunit ribosomal RNA", at positions 338 to 795 of the family's 1533-position model. The record is from RNAcentral.
CCUACGGGAGGCAGCAGUGAGGAAUAUUGGUCAAUGGGCGGGAGCCUGAACCAGCCAAGUCGCGUGAGGGAAGACGGUCCUAUGGAUUGCAAACCUCUUUAGGCGGGGAGCAAUGCCGGGCACGUGUGCCCGGAGGGAGAGUACCCGCAGAAUCAGCAUCGGCUAACUCCGUGCCAGCAGCCGCGGUAAUACGGAGGGUGCAAGCGUUGUCCGGAUUCAUUGGGCGUAAAGGGUUCGUAGGUGGCAUAUUAAGUCUGGUGUUAAAUGCAGAAGCUCAACUUCUGUUCGGAACUGGAUACUGUUAAGCUGGAAUGCGGUAGAGGUAAAGGGAAUUCCUGGUGUAGCGGUGAAAUGCGUAGAUAUCAGGAGGAACAUCGGUGGCGUAAGCGCUUUACUGGGCCGUAAUUGACACUGAGGAACGAAAGCCGGGGUAGCAAAUGGGAUUAGAUACCCGAGUAGUC